UGACAUCUAAAUUAUUUUUAUCUCUAAUUCUUGAUUCAACCUAAUAUAUGACUAAUUAAAGAAAUUAGACAUUUAUCUUGACUUAGGGAUCAGAGCAAAAAUAUCCUUGCUCGAUAUCUUCUUAGCCAAUUAAUUGCAUGCCUAGAGAACCAAAUCAAUAACUAAAAAAUUAUAAUAUUUAUAAUUAAUUGUGGAACAAUCCAAGAAAGAGAGAGAAAGGACAUAAUAAAUCAGGUAAUUAAUGGUUUAGAUCUAAGUAAUCGAUGGAUUAUAAAAUGAGUCAGGGCAAAGUGGGAAGGGCAACAUAGGGUCAUUAAUUAUGUGGUUCAAGAAAGUCCAAGAAUGUCUAGAUGGAAGUCAAUAUAUUGGAUGGUCACUGGGGGACUAUCUCCAAGAUAGUG
RNAcentral lists this long non-coding RNA (401 nucleotides) under Elaeis guineensis (African oil palm). RNAcentral's name for it is "long non-coding RNA (EGUI_LNC008673)". The record is from RNAcentral. Lineage: Eukaryota; Viridiplantae; Streptophyta; Magnoliopsida; Arecales; Arecaceae.